GAUGAACGCUGGCGGCGUGCCUAAUACAUGCAAGUCGAGCGAACAGACGAGGAGCUUGCGCUUCUGACGUUAGCGGCGGACGGGUGAGUAACACGUGGAUAACCUACCUAUAAGACUGGGAUAACUUCGGGAAACCGGAGCUAAUACCGGAUAAUAUAUUGAACCGCAUGGUUCAAUAGUGAAAGACGGUUUUGUUGUCACUUAUAGAUGGAUCCGCGCCGCAUUAGCUAGUUGGUAAGGUAACGGCUUACCAAGGCAACGCUGCGUAGCCGACCUGAGAGGGUGAUCGGCCACACUGGAACUGAGCCACGGUCCAGACUCCUACGGGAGGCAGCAGUAGGGAAUCUUCCGCUAUGGGCGGAAGCCUGACGGAGCAACGCCGCGUGAGUGAUGAAGGGCUUCGGAUCGUAAAACUCUGUUAUUAGGGAAGAACAAAUGUGUAAGUAACUAUGCGCGUCUUGACGGUACCUAAUCAGAAAGCCACGGCUAACUACGUG
Molecule: ribosomal RNA, 497 nt
Filed under: uncultured bacterium
Lineage: Bacteria
Description: partial 16S ribosomal RNA
Rfam family: Bacterial small subunit ribosomal RNA
Source: RNAcentral